RNAcentral lists this ribosomal RNA (425 nucleotides) under uncultured bacterium. RNAcentral's name for it is "partial 16S ribosomal RNA". It matches the Rfam family "Bacterial small subunit ribosomal RNA", at positions 354 to 796 of the family's 1533-position model. The record is from RNAcentral.
GUGGGGAAUCUUGCGCAAUGGGCGAAAGCCUGACGCAGCAACGCCGCGUGCGGGAUGAAGGCCUUCGGGUUGUAAACCGCUUUCAGCAGGGACGAAAAUGACGGUACCUGCAGAAGAAGCUCCGGCUAACUACGUGCCAGCAGCCGCGGUAAUACGUAGGGAGCAAGCGUUGUCCGGAUUUAUUGGGCGUAAAGAGCUCGUAGGCGGUUUCGUAAGUCGAGUGUGAAAAAUCUGGGCUUAACCCAGUGGAGCACUCGAUACUGCGAUGACUUGAGUCUGGUAGAGGAGUGUGGAAUUCCUGGUGUAGCGGUGAAAUGCGCAGAUAUCAGGAGGAACACCAACGGCGAAGGCAGCACUCUGGGCCAGUACUGACGCUGAGGAGCGAAAGCGUGGGGAGCAAACAGGAUUAGAAACCCGGGUAGUCC